This 460-nucleotide ribosomal RNA is filed under the name uncultured bacterium. RNAcentral's name for it is "partial 16S ribosomal RNA". It matches the Rfam family "Bacterial small subunit ribosomal RNA", at positions 338 to 795 of the family's 1533-position model. The record is from RNAcentral.
CCUACGGGAGGCAGCAGUGAGGAAUAUUGGUCAAUGGGCGCGAGCCUGAUCCAGCGAAGCAGCGUGAAGGAUGACGGCCCUACGGGUUGUAAACUUCUUUUAUAAAGGAAUAAAGUGAGGCACGUGUGCAUUAUUGUAUGUACUUUAUGAAUAAGGAUAGGAUAACUCUGGGUCAGCAGCCGGGGUAAUACGGAGGAUCCGGGCGUUAUCCGGAUUUAUUGGGUUUAAAGGGAGCGUAGAUGGGUUGUUAAGUCAGUUGUGAAAGUUUGCGGCUCAACCGUAAAAUUGCAAUUGAUACUGGCAGUCUUGAGUACAGUUGAGGUAAGCGGAAUUCGUGGUGUAGCGGUGAAAUGCUUAGAUAUCACGAAGAACUCCGAUUGCGAAGGCAGCUUACUAAACUGUCACUGACAUUGAUGCUCGAAAGUGUGGGUAUCAAACAGGAUUAGAUACCCGAGUAGUC